AACAUAUUUUUGCAAAGUGUGAGAUGCACAUACUCCCAAAGUAAAUCAGGUCUAUUGCACGGAACCUGUGUUGUAUUAUUAAGUUGAACAAGAACAAUAGCGUGAAACAAAAAUUAUAGGUAGGCAAGACAUGUACAUAAAAAUAUGAACAUUCUUACAAAAAUUCACAAGAGAAAAUGGAGGGACCAUCAAACAAACCCAACAUAUGCAACAAAAUGAUAUUCUGACCUCAAAGUUACCCACAAAAGAGAUCCCAAUGCGAGAACAGAUACUAGGUGGUAGUGAGCAUUAUCUAUUGCACAAAAGGUAAUCGGACAUUAUCCUUAUACAUUAUGAAUCAACCCCCCAAAUGAUAUGGUUGUGGCCAACGAGAGGUCGCUGAGGAGGCAACCGGGAUCCUCCCUGCUGGUAGAUCUGGUCGUCAUUGUCCACUAGGCCAAGAUCUGGAGUGGCCAUCCCGCGCACGGCCACAAAAGAGAUCCCAAUGCGAGAACAAAUACUAGGCGGUAGUGAGCAUUAUCUAUUGCACAAAAGGUAAUCGGACAUUAUCCUUAUUCAUCAUGAACCAACCUUCCAAAUGAUAUGGUUGUGGACGACAAGGGGUCGCCGAGGAGGCAACCGAGAUCCUCCCUGCCGGUAGAUCUGGUCGUCGUUGUCCACUAGGCCAAGGUCUGAAGUGGCCAUCCCGCACACGGCAACAAAAGAGAUCCCAAUGCGAGAACAAAUAAUAGGUGGCAGUGAGCAUUAUCUAUUGCACAAAAGGUAAUCGGACAUUAUCCUUAUUCAUUAUGAACCAACCUCCCAAAUGACAUGGUUGUGGCCGACGAGAGGUCGCUGAGGAGGCAACCGAGAUCCUCCCUGCCAGUAUAUCUGGUCGUCGUUGUCCACUAGGCCAAGAUCCGAAGUGGCCAUCCUACGCACGGCCACAAAAGAGAUCCCAAUGCGAGAACAAAUACUAGGUGGUAGUGAGCAUUAUCUAUUGCACAAAAGGUAAUCGAAAAUUAUCAUUAUUCAUUAUGAAC
RNAcentral lists this long non-coding RNA (1022 nucleotides) under Triticum aestivum (bread wheat). RNAcentral's name for it is "long non-coding RNA (TAES_LNC026470)". The record is from RNAcentral. Lineage: Eukaryota; Viridiplantae; Streptophyta; Magnoliopsida; Poales; Poaceae.